RNAcentral lists this ribosomal RNA (490 nucleotides) under Toxascaris leonina. RNAcentral's name for it is "partial 12S ribosomal RNA". Lineage: Eukaryota; Metazoa; Nematoda; Chromadorea; Rhabditida; Ascarididae. The record is from RNAcentral.
AUCGGCUAGACUUUGUAAACUUGUACUCUAAUUGAUGUUAGUCUGGGGUUUUGGUAUUUAUCUUGUUUUUUUGGGGUGAAAUCGGGAAUUUUUUGUAUUUGUACCCUAGUCUUUAAGAUUUGGUGAAUGAACCAGAUUAGUACCUGGUUAAACAAAAAUUAAAAGAGCAGGAGUAAAGUUGUAUUUAAACUGUAAGAAUAUUGGCAGGUUUUUAAAUUAUCUUUGGAGGUUGAGUAGUAAUUGAGAGCCCUCAUUAACAACUUUUACUGUAGGCGCAUGUAUGAUCGUUUAUUUUAUUCUUAAGGAUUGUAAUUUUAGAUAUUUGUUUGCUGUAAAAAUAGAUAGAUAUCUGGUAUAUGUAGAAGAUUUAAUUUGACCUACAAUUUGUUAUCUUGUGGAUACUUUCUGUAGUGGAAGGUUGAAAAUGUAAAAGACAGUAAGAUUUUUUUUAUAUAAAUCUGAAGUUUAUUUAGAAACGGUACAAAACAUC